Long non-coding RNA from Lucilia cuprina (Australian sheep blowfly), 1574 nucleotides. RefSeq lists it as uncharacterized. The record is from RefSeq and is a predicted model, not a curated record. NCBI's taxonomy places the organism in Eukaryota, Metazoa, Arthropoda, Insecta, Diptera, Calliphoridae. The transcript is spliced from 3 exons.
GGGAAACAAUGGAAACGAAACGAAAAAAUUAACAACUUUUUAACAUUAUUUUUUGUAGAUUUAAAUGAAUAUAUUAACAAGAUUUUUUUGUACACGUAUUAAAUAUCAUUUUAAUUUUAUUUUUAUACAAAAAUAUUAAAUAAAACUUUACAAUUUCAAUGUAAAAUUAUAAAUUUUUUAAGACACUUUUAAAAUUGAACAGUACCGUAUGAAAAUUCCGCGUAAACUAAAUCUUUUGCUAAAGAAAUGUCAAAAAUCAUUAAAAUAUCGUUGUUUUUUAUUUUGUUUUUGAUUUAUUAAACACCAAAAACUUUCAAAGAUGUUGCAGCUAUUGGACAUUUUGUUUAAUUGCAAGAAAUUUCUGGAAACUAUGAGGUUUGUUGUUUUUUAAAAUCCAGAAACUUCUGAAGUGUUACAAAGAAACAGUUCAUUGCUUGGUUUAUAAAACUCUGAAAUCUUCUCCUGUGUCUUAUAUUAAUCCCCCGCAACAUCUGAUGAAUCUCUAAGAACAGCGAACUAUUUUUAUUAUGUUCCGGUAUCUUUGAGAAACUUUCGGAGUAAUAACAACAGCUUCUUGUUAUCCGGAAACUUUGAAAAACACUGGGAAUUAUUAUUUAUAUAUAUUAAGUUCCAGUAACUUCGACAAUCUUCCGGCGAUGUUUUGUUUUGUUAAACUCCGGGUAUGUAUAAGAUUUUCAACGAAAUAUUGUAGUCUGUUGUUGUUUUUUGACAAAUUUAAACAUUGCUCGUGGCUAUAAUGUUUUAUUGAUAUUACAUAUUUCCAGUGGCUUCUAUAAUUUACCCGAAUUUUAAGUAUUAGCAUCUUUGGUGCUGCGUCUUCUUUAGGGGAUGCACUCAUAGCAUUUGAGUGUUAUUAAAUUUGUAGGAAUGUACUGCGGAAUCAUGAAGAAUAUAACCGACUUUAAAGUGUUAAGCGCAAAGAAGCUAUCCCUUUAUUACAGAAUGCAUUCAUAGCAUUUAAAAGCCAGACUAUGUGUGAUUGACAUUACAUACUUCCAGAAACUUCUAUAAUUUACCCGAAUUUAAAGUAUUAGCAUCUUUGGUACUGCGUCUUCCUUAGGGGAUGUUUCACAGCAAUUUCCUGUGUUUAAAUUCAUAGGAAUGUACGGCGGAAUCUUUCAAGAAACUAUGCAACUUUAAUGAAACAGCCAUACGCUAUAUGGUUGAUAAACUUUCAGAAGCCCCUUUGAAUAUAACGGAAUAUAAGUCGGAAUCUUUCUCGAAACUUUAAGCAACAUUUAUGGAACAUCAAAACGCUGUAUAAUUUAAAAACUUCCGGAGGUUUCGAAUUAAAAGUAUAAAAAUCUUUACAAUCGUCUUGUUAUUAGGUAAACUUCUAGAAGUUUCCAGACUAUAACAGAAUAUAAAGUAGUAACAGCUUUGGAGUUGUCGCUUUAUUUAAAGAAACAUUUUAAGCAUUUUGGUGUUAUUAGACUGGAAUGUAUUUCUGAGUUUUUCCGGAAACUAUAAACAAUGUUCUUUAGCAUGUUUAUCUUUAUUCUGUUGAGCUCUGGGAACAACGGGAAACUUGUUAAAAUGCUUGCGGCUCAGUU